Molecule: ribosomal RNA, 271 nt
Filed under: uncultured archaeon
Lineage: Archaea
Description: partial 16S ribosomal RNA
Rfam family: Archaeal small subunit ribosomal RNA
Source: RNAcentral
CAGCGCCACGAGUGGGGAUCCUGUUUAUUUGGCCUAAAGCGUCCGUAGCUGGUUUAGUAAAUCUCUUGUGAAAUCGUUUGGCUCAACCAAACGGCAAGCAGGAGACACUAUCAAACUUGAGACCGGGAAGGGUUAGAGGUAUGCUUGGGGGAGCGGUAAAAUGCUAUAAUCCCUUGCAGACCAAUGGUGGCGAAGGCGUCUAACUAGAACGGAUCUGACGGUGAGGGACGAAAGCCAGGGGAGCAAUCCGGAUUAGAGACCCGAGUAGUCC